RNAcentral lists this ribosomal RNA (507 nucleotides) under uncultured bacterium. RNAcentral describes it as "bacterial SSU rRNA". It matches the Rfam family "Bacterial small subunit ribosomal RNA", at positions 26 to 518 of the family's 1533-position model. The record is from RNAcentral.
AGGACGAACGCUGGCGGCGUGCCUAACACAUGCAAGUCGAGCGGGGACAUUGCGACGGAGGCGAAGUACUCGUACGGAGUCAAAGAUGUAAUGUCUAGCGGCGGACGGGUGAGUAACGCGUGAGCAACCUGUCCCUUACAGGGGGAUAACACAGCGAAAGUUGUACUAAUACCGCAUAAGACCACAGGAUGACAUCGUCCAGGGGUCAAAGGAGCAAUCCGGUAAGGGGUGGGCUCGCGUCCGAUUAGAUAGUUGGUGAGGUAACGGCCCACCAAGUCGACGAUCGGUAGCCGACCUGAGAGGGUAAUCGGCCACAUUGGGACUGAGACACGGCCCAAACUCCUACGGGAGGCAGCAGUGGGGAAUAUUGGGCAAUGGGGGGAAACCCUGACCCAGCAACGCCGCGUGAGGGAAGAAGGUUUUCGGAUCGUAAACCUCUGUCCCAGGUGAAGAGGAAGAGACGGUAGCCUGGGAGGAAGCCCCGGCUAACUACGUGCCAGCCGCCGC